RNAcentral lists this ribosomal RNA (253 nucleotides) under uncultured bacterium. RNAcentral's name for it is "partial 16S ribosomal RNA". It matches the Rfam family "Bacterial small subunit ribosomal RNA", at positions 524 to 776 of the family's 1533-position model. The record is from RNAcentral.
UACGUAGGGUGCAAGCGUUAAUCGGAAUUACUGGGCGUAAAGCGUGCGCAGGCGGUUUUGUAAGUCUGUCGUGAAAGCCCCGGGCUUAACCUGGGAAUUGCGUUGGAGACUGCAAGGCUGGAGUCUGGCAGAGGGGGGUAGAAUUCCACGUGUAGCAGUGAAAUGCGUAGAGAUGUGGAGGAACACCGAUGGCGAAGGCAGCCCCCUGGGUCAAGACUGACGCUCAUGCACGAAAGCGUGGGGAGCAAACAGG